RNAcentral lists this ribosomal RNA (253 nucleotides) under uncultured bacterium. RNAcentral's name for it is "partial 16S ribosomal RNA". It matches the Rfam family "Bacterial small subunit ribosomal RNA", at positions 524 to 776 of the family's 1533-position model. The record is from RNAcentral.
UACAGAGGGUGCAAGCGUUAUUCGGAAUCACUGGGCGUAAAGAGUUCGUAGGCGGUUUAUCAAGUCUGAUGUGAAAUCCCCGGGCCCAAUCCGGGACGUGCAUUGGAAACUGAUGAGCUAGAGUGCGGGAGGGGAGAGUGGAAUUCCAGGUGUAGAGGUGAAAUUCGUAGAUAUCUGGAGGAACAACGGAAGCGAAAGCGACUCUCUGGACCGUUACUGACGCUGAGGAACGAAAGCGUGGGGAGCAAACAGG